GAUGAAGAACGUAGCGAAAUGCGAUAAGUAAUGCGAAUUGCAGAAUUCAGUGAAUCAUCGAAUCUUUGAACGCACAUUGCGCCCGCCAGUAUUCUGGCGGGCAUGCCUGUCUGAGCGUCGUUUCGACCCUCGCGCCCGGCUUCUGUCGGGGGCGGUGUUGGGGAUCGGCCACACCCUUCAGUGGGAGGCCGGCCCCUAAAUUCAGUGGCGACCACGCUGUAGCCUCCCCUGCGUAGUACUAAAGCCACCUCGCAGGCGGAGAGCGGUGCGGCCCGCCGUAAAACCCCCCAACUUUUACAAGGUCGACCUCAGAUCAGGUAGGAAUACCCGCUGAACUUAAGCAUAUCAAUAAGCGGAGGA
This 360-nucleotide unclassified non-coding RNA is filed under the name soil metagenome. RNAcentral describes it as "partial contains 5.8S ribosomal RNA, internal transcribed spacer 2, and large subunit ribosomal RNA". The stretch from base 1 to 120 matches the Rfam family "5.8S ribosomal RNA", at positions 35 to 154 of the family's 154-position model. The record is from RNAcentral.